This 346-nucleotide ribosomal RNA is filed under the name uncultured bacterium. RNAcentral's name for it is "bacterial SSU rRNA". It matches the Rfam family "Bacterial small subunit ribosomal RNA", at positions 335 to 698 of the family's 1533-position model. The record is from RNAcentral.
ACUCCUACGGGAGGCAGCAGUGGGGAAUAUUGGACAAUGGGCGCAAGCCUGAUCCAGCCAUGCCGCGUGAGUGAAGAAGGCCCUAGGGUUGUAAAGCUCUUUCAGCGGGGACGAUAAUGACGGUACCCGCAGAAGAAGCCCCGGCUAACUUCGUGCCAGCAGCCGCGGUAAUACGAAGGGGGCUAGCGUUGUUCGGAAUUACUGGGCGUAAAGCGCGCGUAGGCGGAUAUUUAAGUCAGGGGUGAAAUCCCAGGGCUCAACCCUGGAACUGCCUUUGAUACUGGAUGUCUGGAGUUCGGGAGAGGUGAGUGGAAUUCCGAGUGUAGCGGUGAAAUGCGUAGAGAUC